This 466-nucleotide ribosomal RNA is filed under the name uncultured bacterium. Its description in RNAcentral is "partial 16S ribosomal RNA". It matches the Rfam family "Bacterial small subunit ribosomal RNA", at positions 28 to 507 of the family's 1533-position model. The record is from RNAcentral.
GAUGAACGCUGGCGGCGUGCUUAACACAUGCAAGUCGAACGGAAAGGCUCCUGCUUGCUGGGGUACUCGAGUGGCGAACGGGUGAGUAACACGUGGGUGAUCUGCCCUGCACUUCGGGAUAAGCCUGGGAAACUGGGUCUAAUACCGGAUAGGACGAUGGUCUGGAUGCCAUUGUGGAAAGUUUUUUCGGUGUGGGAUGAGCUCGCGGCCUAUCAGCUUGUUGGUGGGGUAAUGGCCUACCAAGGCGUCGACGGGUAGCCGGCCUGAGAGGGUGUACGGCCACAUUGGGACUGAGAUACGGCCCAGACUCCUACGGGAGGCAGCAGUGGGGAAUAUUGCACAAUGGGCGCAAGCCUGAUGCAGCGACGCCGCGUGGGGGAUGACGGCCUUCGGGUUGUAAACUCCUUUCGCUAGGGACGAAGCGCAAGUGACGGUACCUGGAGAAGAAGCACCGGCUAACUACGUG